CGCGCAGGGAGUGCGGCCUGGGCUUGGAAGGCGGGGGAGGAGAACUUUAACCGGCACAGUUCGGCAUCCGGAAUCGCUAGCGCCCCUCUCUGGGCUUUAGGAGGGUCGGGCCGUGAAGCACCCCGGAGCUUAACCUUCAGCACAGUCACCAGUAAAGAGGAGACUCUCAUGCGGAAGAUGCCAAAUGAAGACAAGAGUCCCUGGAGGAUGAGAAGUCACGUGGAGGAGAGGUGAGGCACAUCACCCAACAACCAGCCAUGUUGGCAGAGAUUUAAGGAAAUUCUUUGGGGAGGCCCCUGCAAAGUCCGUCUUCUAAAAUAUGAAUGGUGUUGAUGGAAAAAGCUGAAAAGCUUUUUUUGAGCAUGAAUCGGACUACCAUCAUGUGGCCAACAGUGUGGCUCUUUUCCCACCAAACCCAGUACCAGAAGGACCAUUAAGAAGAGCUGAGUGGACUUUCAAGCUCCCUGCCCAUCCCUCUGAUGGAGAUGUUAAUGAAUCAACCAAACUGCCAGAAAAGAAGACUGCAGGAAGGAAAGUGAAAACUCAGGAGCCUGGGCCACUGCCAAGCUAGAAACGCAGACGCUGAGGAAAUGGAAGGUACUGGAGGACUAACGUAAAGGAGCAACCCACAGACCCACGCCUUGGGAGCACUGCGCUAUAGUUUCCAGAAGGUGGAGGGCCGUCUUAUUUGGCAGUGCUGCCCCACCCAGAUCACGUUCUGUCCCCAGUGUGACCAGCUGGGUGUUCACCUGAGCUGAGCAAGAGUGAGCUGGAACCAGGAGCCUGGCUUUCUGGCUCACAGUACCGAGGAGCAGGCAAUGGACUCGUCCAAGCACUCUCUCCUUACUUGAGCACGGUUUGCUAACAGGAUGAGGAAAGGGAGAGGAAGACAAAGACUUUGUUUUUUAGGACAACUUUGUAAAUCCCACUGUAAAUCUUAUUGGUUUCCUCCUCAUGCUGCUUUCUAUUUGAUCUUUAUCUAUUUUGUUUGUUUAUUAACAUCAUAACAGCAAGGUCUCACAAUCCUUUUGAACCCCGGUGCAGUUUUAAUGAACAUAAAAACUGUCCAUGGUCUCUAAAGGUUAUUUGAAAUUCCAAAAUAAAUAGCAC
This is a long non-coding RNA of Prionailurus viverrinus (fishing cat), 1110 nucleotides long. RefSeq lists it as uncharacterized. The record is from RefSeq and is a predicted model, not a curated record. Lineage: Eukaryota; Metazoa; Chordata; Mammalia; Carnivora; Felidae. The transcript is spliced from 4 exons.